CCGGAAGUGGAAGCACCGCGAGGUGUGGAGCUGACCGGUACUAACAGGCCGAGGGCUUGACCA
RNAcentral lists this ribosomal RNA (63 nucleotides) under Geodermatophilus telluris. RNAcentral's name for it is "partial 23S rRNA. Bacterial LSU". Lineage: Bacteria; Bacillati; Actinomycetota; Actinomycetes; Geodermatophilales; Geodermatophilaceae. The record is from RNAcentral.